GAUGAACGCUGGCGGCGUGCCUAAUACAUGCAAGUCGAGCGAACGGACGAGAAGCUUGCUCUUCUGAUGUUAGCGGCGGACGGGUGAGUAACACGUGGAUAACCUACCUAUAAGACUGGGAUAACUUCGGGAAACCGGAGCUAAUACCGGAUAAUAUUUUGAACCGCAUGGUUCAAUAGUGAAAGACGGUCUUGCUGUCACUUAUAGAUGGAUCCGCGCUGCAUUAGCUAGUUGGUAAGGUAACGGCUUACCAAGGCAACGAUGCAUAGCCGACCUGAGAGGGUGAUCGGCCACACUGGAACUGAGACACGGUCCAGACUCCUACGGGAGGCAGCAGUAGGGAAUCUUCCGCAAUGGGCGAAAGCCUGACGGAGCAACGCCGCGUGAGUGAUGAAGGUCUUCGGAUCGUAAAACUCUGUUAUUAGGGAAGAACAUAUGUGUAAGUAACUAUGCACGUCUUGACGGUACCUAAUCAGAAAGCCACGGCUAACUACGUG
RNAcentral lists this ribosomal RNA (497 nucleotides) under uncultured bacterium. Its description in RNAcentral is "partial 16S ribosomal RNA". It matches the Rfam family "Bacterial small subunit ribosomal RNA", at positions 28 to 507 of the family's 1533-position model. The record is from RNAcentral.